This is a long non-coding RNA of Triplophysa dalaica, 838 nucleotides long. RefSeq lists it as uncharacterized. The transcript has 4 exons. Lineage: Eukaryota; Metazoa; Chordata; Actinopteri; Cypriniformes; Nemacheilidae. The record is from RefSeq and is a predicted model, not a curated record.
CUUAACGCACUGAGAACACAAUGACAGAUCUGAAGAGUUUGUUUUAGGAGAUUCAAGUGUUCAGUUCUCCUUCAGUUAUUCCUCUGCUAAUAAUCAUCAGUGGUACCGUCAGUAUCCCAGAAGAGCUCCUGGAUUUAUUGUGCUCAUUACUGAGGGUUAUUGUAGGCUUACAGAUUCUGUUCCUGCCUGAAAAUGACGGCAAAGGGAGAGCCUACCCCUGGAUGUAUAGACAGGGUCUGACCUGACGGUGCUGGGGAGGAUCAGGAUGAACACAACGGUAUCUGUCAAAAGAGCAAAGAGAUGACUUACAGUGUCUGACACACAAACACAGAUCUGAAAGACUCGACACAGAGAUCAUCUUACUUAACAUGAAUGAAUGCUGUUUACUGAUUCUUAUCAUGACAACAGGUUUGGUGACUGGGGACAAAAUCGAGCCAGAUAAAGGGACUACAAUCCGUAAAAGAAAAAGAAAAUAUACAACUGAGCUGUUUAUAUAGUUCAACCAGCAGUGAUGUUCGACUUUAUUGGUACAGAAAGUUUUCUCACAGUGAACUUCUGUAUUUAGCGUAUAAAGGUGCUCGAUCAUUAAGUGCUGAAAAUUCUUCAGAUCAACGAUUUAAAGCAACAGCAUCAGACACAUCCACUGAACUCAAUAUUAAUGAUGUGACUCUGUCAGAUUCAGCUCUAUAUUACUGUGCUCUGAGAGUUGGAGCCCAGUGAUACAAAACAUGAAACACGUCGUACAAAAACCUAAUAGAUGUUUUUACAUUAAACCUGUAAUACAAACCAUAAUCAAAACCACAAUCUAUUCAGCCCCAAAUAUAAUAAAACAUGUGGU